This 449-nucleotide ribosomal RNA is filed under the name uncultured bacterium. RNAcentral describes it as "bacterial SSU rRNA". It matches the Rfam family "Bacterial small subunit ribosomal RNA", at positions 355 to 825 of the family's 1533-position model. The record is from RNAcentral.
UCAAGAAACUUCCACAAUGGGCGAAAGCCUGAUGGAGCGACGUCGCGUGAUGGACGAAGUGCUUCGGCACGUAAACAUCUUUUAUGUGGGAUGAAAUUAUUGACAGUACCACAUGAAUAAGGGGCUCCUAACUCUGUGCCAGCAGGAGCGGUAAUACAGAGGCCCCAAGCGUUAUCCGGAAUCACUGGGCGUAAAGGGUGUCGAGGCGGUUGUAUUAGUCGUUCGUAAAAUCUACGAGCUUAACUUGUAGGCGGCGAACGAAACGGUACGACUUGAGGUUUGGAGAGGUGCGUGGAACUCACGGUGUAGGGUGAAAUCCGUUGAUAUCGUGGGGAACACCAAAGGCGAAGGCAGCGCACUGGCCAAAAUCUGACGCUCACACACGAAAGCUAGGGUAGCGAAGAGGAUUAGAUACCCUAGUAGUCCCUGAGCGGGCUGGCAAGGCGCAU